Molecule: transfer RNA, 76 nt
Filed under: Gemmatimonadaceae bacterium
Lineage: Bacteria; Pseudomonadati; Gemmatimonadota; Gemmatimonadia; Gemmatimonadales; Gemmatimonadaceae
Description: tRNA-Ala
Rfam family: tRNA
About the family: Transfer RNA (tRNA) molecules are approximately 80 nucleotides in length. Their secondary structure includes four short double-helical elements and three loops (D, anti-codon, and T loops). Further hydrogen bonds mediate the characteristic L-shaped molecular structure. tRNAs have two regions of fundamental functional importance: the anti-codon, which is responsible for specific mRNA codon recognition, and the 3' end, to which the tRNAs corresponding amino acid is attached (by aminoacyl-tRNA synthetases). tRNAs cope with the degeneracy of the genetic code in two manners: having more than one tRNA (with a specific anti-codon) for a particular amino acid; and 'wobble' base-pairing, i.e. permitting non-standard base-pairing at the 3rd anti-codon position.
Source: RNAcentral
GGGGCCGUGUUCCAACGGGAAGAUGCCGCACUUGCAAUGCGUGCGAUGAGGGUUCGAUUCCCUUCGGUCUCCACCA